Hirundo rustica (Barn swallow) is the source of this 173-nucleotide small nuclear RNA. RefSeq annotates it as U1 spliceosomal RNA. The record is from RefSeq and is a predicted model, not a curated record. Lineage: Eukaryota; Metazoa; Chordata; Aves; Passeriformes; Hirundinidae. The transcript has a single exon.
AUACUUACCUGGCAGGGGAGACACCAGGAUCAGGCAGCUGGUUUUCCCAAGGCUGGUUUUCCCAAGUUCAUCCCCUGCACUCUGGGUGUCCUGACCCCUGGGAUUUCCCAAAAUCCAGGAAAUUUGGCUGCAUAAUUUGUAGUAACAGAGGACUGCUCUAGUAGAGGCCUUGG